CCUACGGGGCGCAGCAGUGAGGAAUAUUGGUCAAUGGACGAGAGUCUGAACCAGCCAAGUAGCGUGAAGGAUGACUGCCCUAUGGGUUGUAAACUUCUUUUAUAUGGGAAUAAAAUGUUCCACGUGUGGGAUUUUGUAUGUACCAUAUGAAUAAGGAUCGGCUAACUCCGUGCCAGCAGCCGCGGUAAUACGGAGGAUCCGAGCGUUAUCCGGAUUUAUUGGGUUUAAAGGGAGCGUAGGUGGAUUGUUAAGUCAGUUGUGAAAGUUUGCGGCUCAACCGUAAAAUUGCAGUUGAAACUGGCAGUCUUGAGUACAGUAGAGGUGGGCGGAAUGCGUGGUGUAGCGGUGAAAUGCUUAGAUAUCACGAAGAACUCCGAUUGCGAAGGCAGUUCACUGGACUGCAACUGACACUGAGGCUCGAAAGUGUGGGUAUCAAACAGGAUUAGAUACCCGUGUAGUC
RNAcentral lists this ribosomal RNA (460 nucleotides) under uncultured bacterium. Its description in RNAcentral is "partial 16S ribosomal RNA". It matches the Rfam family "Bacterial small subunit ribosomal RNA", at positions 338 to 795 of the family's 1533-position model. The record is from RNAcentral.